UUGUGCAAAUGUGGGAUACGCCUUUAAGGUUUCCACAUGACCCCUAGGGUAUUCCUAUCUCACAUAUGAAUCAUCUGGCCAUGUACCAAUGAGACAUUUCGACUUCUGAUUGUUUUCCUUCUAACAAGGCUUCUAGAAUCGUAUUUGAGGCACAUCUGCACUGACUCAGUCAACGCACCAUUUUGCUUCUCUUUGUUUCUGAGUCCCUGGAAAGGGUCUCUGGGUAACACCAGCCAUGGAGCGCCUUUCUUCUUGAUUUGAGUUGACAUUGGUUUGUAAUUGCUAUUCCUGGGAGUCUCAGGACUUUAAGUUAUUUUUCUCUUUUCUUCAGUGGUAGACAUUUAUGUUGGUUCGGAAGAUGCGCUCUGUCUAGGGAGAUUUGGAGACCACUGGGUUCUUUCCCAAGGUUGUUCCCUCCACCUGGCCCAGCGUCUCAGUCAGCUGCUCAACCUCCAACUCCGGAGAAUGCCUAUCCUGUCCAAGGAGUCAGCCCCCGGCCUCAUCAUUGCCACCGGU
This 516-nucleotide long non-coding RNA is filed under the name Cricetulus griseus (Chinese hamster). Its description in RNAcentral is "lncRNA (ENSCGRG00000025308.1)". The record is from RNAcentral. Lineage: Eukaryota; Metazoa; Chordata; Mammalia; Rodentia; Cricetidae.